Small nucleolar RNA from Rhineura floridana, 132 nucleotides. RefSeq annotates it as small nucleolar RNA SNORA29. The transcript has a single exon. The record is from RefSeq and is a predicted model, not a curated record. NCBI's taxonomy places the organism in Eukaryota, Metazoa, Chordata, Lepidosauria, Squamata, Rhineuridae.
CUUUCCAUUUGAGUAGCACUUAUUUGCAUUACAAAAUAAGUGGCUAUGCUUAUGGGAUAAAUAAAUGACUGCCAGAGUCUGAAGAAGAUUGACAGUAUCUUUUUCCUAUAUGAAAUGGCAGUACAUAUUACU